This 81-nucleotide non-coding RNA is filed under the name Vibrio hippocampi. RNAcentral describes it as "Glycine". It matches the Rfam family "Glycine riboswitch aptamer". From Rfam's summary of the family: This family represents the bacterial glycine riboswitch. Glycine riboswitches usually consist of two metabolite-binding aptamers domains with similar structures in tandem. The aptamers cooperatively bind glycine to regulate the expression of downstream genes. The record is from RNAcentral. Lineage: Bacteria; Pseudomonadati; Pseudomonadota; Gammaproteobacteria; Vibrionales; Vibrionaceae.
AUGAAGACUGCUGGAGAGAGGCAACCUAGAGUUGUCCGCCGAAGAUUUAAUUAUUUCAGGCAAAAGGACUGUAGUUGGAGG